This 92-nucleotide small nucleolar RNA is filed under the name Collybiopsis luxurians FD-317 M1. The record is from RNAcentral. Lineage: Eukaryota; Fungi; Basidiomycota; Agaricomycetes; Agaricales; Omphalotaceae.
UUUCUUUAUGAUGCAUACGAUUCUUUCGACGAAUGGCUAGCAGUUACCCUGCGAUGCUGCCUCUUCAAAUAUACCAUCUUUCGGGACUGAUU